GACGAACGCUGGCGGCGUGCUUAACACAUGCAAGUCGAACGGUGAAGCACCUUCCUUUUGGUGGGUGUGGAUGAGUGGCGAACGGGUGAGUAACACGUGAGAAACCUGCCCCCUUCUUCUGGAUAACCGCAUGAAAGUGUGGCUAAUACGGGAUAUUCUGGGUCUGUCGCAUGGCGGGCCUGGGAAAGAUAUUGUUUCGGUGGGGGAUGGGCUCGCGGUCUAUCAGCUUGUUGGUGGGGUGAUGGCCUACCAAGGCGGAGACGGGUAGCCGGCCUGGGAGGGUGGACGGUCACACUGGGACUGAGACACGGCCCAGCCUCCUACGGGAGGCAGCAGUGGGGAAUAUUGCACAAUGGGCGCAAGCCUGAUGCAGCGACGCCGCGUGAGGGAUGGAGGCCUUCGGGUUGUAAACCUCUUUCGCCAGUGAAGCAGGCCUGUCCCUUUUGUGGGUGGGUUGACGGUAGCUGGAUAAGAAGCGCCGGCUAACUACGU
This 492-nucleotide ribosomal RNA is filed under the name uncultured bacterium. RNAcentral's name for it is "partial 16S ribosomal RNA". It matches the Rfam family "Bacterial small subunit ribosomal RNA", at positions 28 to 506 of the family's 1533-position model. The record is from RNAcentral.